Molecule: ribosomal RNA, 466 nt
Filed under: uncultured bacterium
Lineage: Bacteria
Description: bacterial SSU rRNA
Rfam family: Bacterial small subunit ribosomal RNA
Source: RNAcentral
UCCAGACUCCUACGGGAGGCAGCAGUGAGGAAUAUUGGUCAAUGGGCGCGAGCCUGAACCAGCCAAGUCGCGUGAGGGAAGACGGUCCUAUGGAUUGUAAACCUCUUUUGUCAGGGAGCAAAGGGCGCCACGUGUGGCGCUUUGCGAGUACCUGAAGAAAAAGCAUCGGCUAACUCCGUGCCAGCAGCCGCGGUAAUACGGAGGAUGCGAGCGUUAUCCGGAUUUAUUGGGUUUAAAGGGUGCGCAGGCGGAAUGUCAAGUCAGCGGUAAAAUUUCGGGGCUCAACCCCGUACUGCCGUUGAAACUGCAUCCCUUGAGUGCGCGAGAAGUAUGCGGAAUGCGUGGUGUAGCGGUGAAAUGCAUAGAUAUCACGCAGAACUCCGAUUGCGAAGGCAGCAUACCGGCGCGCAACUGACGCUCAUGCACGAAAGUGUGGGUAUCGAACAGGAUUAGAUACCCCGGUACA